Molecule: ribosomal RNA, 448 nt
Filed under: uncultured Anoxybacillus sp.
Lineage: Bacteria; Bacillati; Bacillota; Bacilli; Caryophanales; Anoxybacillaceae
Description: bacterial SSU rRNA
Rfam family: Bacterial small subunit ribosomal RNA
Source: RNAcentral
AGCAUGUGGUUUAAUUCGAAGCAACGCGAAGAACCUUACCAGGUCUUGACAUCCCUGACAACCCGAGAGAUCGGGCGUUCCCCCUUCGGGGGACAGGGUGACAGGUGGUGCAUGGUUGUCGUCAGCUCGUGUCGUGAGAUGUUGGGUUAAGUCCCGCAACGAGCGCAACCCUCGACCUUAGUUGCCAGCUUUCAGUUGGGCACUCUAAGGUGACUGCCGGCUAAAAGUCGGAGGAAGGUGGGGAUGACGUCAAAUCAUCAUGCCCCUUAUGACCUGGGCUACACACGUGCUACAAUGGGCGGUACAAAGGGUCGCGAACCCGCGAGGGGGGAGCCAAUCCCAAAAAGCCGCUCUCAGUUCGGAUUGCAGGCUGCAACUCGCCUGCAUGAAGCCGGAAUCGCUAGUAAUCGCGGAUCAGCAUGCCGCGGUGAAUACGUUCCCGGGCCUU